UGUGUGUGUGUGUGUGUGUGUGUGUGUGUGUGUGUGUGUGUGUGUGUGUGUGUGUGUACCUGUCAAAGAGCACAGAGACCCUCUCCAUGGCAACAAUGAUCGACUCGCUGUCUGGGGCCUGAGGGUCAGAGUGGGCGGGGCGACCGGCAGGGCUGGCUUU
This is a long non-coding RNA of Etheostoma spectabile (orangethroat darter), 160 nucleotides long. RefSeq lists it as uncharacterized. Lineage: Eukaryota; Metazoa; Chordata; Actinopteri; Perciformes; Percidae. The record is from RefSeq and is a predicted model, not a curated record. The transcript has 2 exons.